RNAcentral lists this small RNA (826 nucleotides) under uncultured Actinomycetes bacterium. RNAcentral's name for it is "bacterial SSU rRNA". The stretch from base 1 to 472 matches the Rfam family "Bacterial small subunit ribosomal RNA", at positions 1064 to 1533 of the family's 1533-position model. Lineage: Bacteria; Bacillati; Actinomycetota; Actinomycetes. The record is from RNAcentral.
GCCGUGAGGUGUUGGGUUAAGUCCCGCAACGAGCGCAACCCUUGUCCUAUGUUGCCAGCGGGUAAUGCCGGGGACUCGUAGGAGACUGCCGGGGUCAACUCGGAGGAAGGUGGGGAUGACGUCAAGUCAUCAUGCCCCUUAUGUCCAGGGCUGCACACAUGCUACAAUGGCCGGUACAAAGGGCUGCUAUUCCGCGAGGAGGAGCGAAUCCCAGAAAGCCGGUCUCAGUUCGGAUCGCAGUCUGCAACUCGACUGCGUGAAGUCGGAGUCGCUAGUAAUCCCGGAUCAGCAACGCCGGGGUGAAUACGUUCCCGGGCCUUGUACACACCGCCCGUCACACCACGAAAGUUGGUAACACCCGAAGCCAGUGGCCCAACCCUUUGGGAGGGAGCUGUCGAAGGUGGGAUCAGCGAUUGGGGUGAAGACGUAACAAGGUAGCCGUACCGGAAGGUGCGGCUGGAUCGCCUCCUUUCUAAGGAGUCGUACUGCCUGGUGCGGUGGUCAUUUUUCAUGUGACCGCCAAACCCAGGGACUCCCAGUCGAUCACUGGCUAUUCGGCGCCGGACGGCGCGAGUCGGUCGUAGGUUCACAGGUCUUCGGACCUGCCCCUCCCGACUCGAGCCCACCGACCGCCGGUCUUCCUGUUCCGUUGUCUGGGGGCGGCGUCGCCGCGCCCUUUGAGAACUUCAUAGCGAGCACGAGCAUCUUUGUUUUUCAAGCUACAAAGAGCCAACGGUGGAUGCCUUGGCGCCUGAAGCCGAAGAAGGACGUGGGAGGCUGCGAUAAGCCUCGGGGAGCUGCCGACCAAGCUUCGAUCCGAGGAUGU